GAAAACCCUAUGUGUAUGCAUGAGAGAAAAGUGAGCACUUAAAGUGAGCAAAAGAACAGAGUGACACAAUGACAUAGAUCGAGUGGCAUUUGAAAAUGUAAAGUAAAGAGACACUAGAGUUAGUGUGAUGCAAAGAACUAACGUGAUGUAAAGAAUGAUGAAAACGACCAUGAGUAAGAUUAAAGUAAAGUGGGGCAAUAAGAACAAGAAUUGUAACGAAUAAGAAUGCUAGGGUUAGCAAGAGUAGAGAAAUGUAAAGAAUGUGAUUGCAUGAGUUUGCAACAAAAAGUGAUGAAAG
RNAcentral lists this long non-coding RNA (298 nucleotides) under Ananas comosus (pineapple). RNAcentral describes it as "long non-coding RNA (ACOM_LNC041540)". Lineage: Eukaryota; Viridiplantae; Streptophyta; Magnoliopsida; Poales; Bromeliaceae. The record is from RNAcentral.